GACGAACGCUGGCGGCGUGCUUAACACAUGCAAGUCGAACGGAAAGGCCCUGCUUUUGUGGGGUGCUCGAGUGGCGAACGGGUGAGUAACACGUGAGUAACCUGCCCUUGACUUUGGGAUAACUUCAGGAAACUGGGGCUAAUACCGGAUAGGAGCUCCUGCUGCAUGGUGGGGGUUGGAAAGUUUCGGCGGUGGGGGAUGGACUCGCGGCUUAUCAGCUUGUUGGUGGGGUAGUGGCUUACCAAGGCUUUGACGGGUAGCCGGCCUGAGAGGGUGACCGGCCACCUUGGGACUGAGAUACGGCCCAGACUCCUACGGGCGGCAGCAGUGGGGAAUAUUGCACAAUGGGCGGAAGCCUGAUGCAGCAACGCCGCGUGCGGGAUGACGGCCUUCGGGUUGUAAACCGCUUUCGCCUGUGACGAAGCGUGAGUGACGGUAAUGGGUAAAGAAACACCGGCUAACUACGUG
This 468-nucleotide ribosomal RNA is filed under the name uncultured bacterium. RNAcentral's name for it is "partial 16S ribosomal RNA". It matches the Rfam family "Bacterial small subunit ribosomal RNA", at positions 28 to 507 of the family's 1533-position model. The record is from RNAcentral.